This 542-nucleotide long non-coding RNA is filed under the name Gossypium raimondii (Peruvian cotton). RNAcentral's name for it is "long non-coding RNA (GRAI_LNC005893)". Lineage: Eukaryota; Viridiplantae; Streptophyta; Magnoliopsida; Malvales; Malvaceae. The record is from RNAcentral.
AGCCACUGGAAAAACAUAAAAAAGUAUUGUAGAGGCUCAAUUUGGCCCGGGCCCAAAUAAGAUAACAACCAAAAAUAAAAAUAAUAUACAGAUGAGUCCAUUAAUAGUCUAAUUUUACAAACCCAAAAUACAAGCCCAAAUACAAAGAGAAGCCCAGUGGCCCAAAUCUUAAAACUAAGAUAAGAAACCCUAGUUGCCCUAGCCCCUUGCCACGCCACUCCUCGACAUGUCAGCUGACGCGGUGCCCGAGACUUCUGCCCCUUUCACCAAAACGGUAACAGCCCUAGCCCCGUUGACUUCCACUGCCCUUGCAAGAAGAGAAAAAAAAGAAAAAAGAAAAAAGGCACAAGAGCAAGCAAUUAAAAGCAAAAAAUAAACAAAAAUAUUGUAAUAUAUUCGGUUAUAAAGACCAAAAACUAUCGUAACAAAGGGGGGAUUGAAUAGAAAAAUUGAAUACAAACGUUAAGCAAAAAGAAGGUGAUUCAUUUUGUUUUUUGUUUUUAGAUUAGAAAAAGCAUAAUAAGUAAAUAUAAAGUUUUUUU